GAUGCUUACCAAGAAUGGAAUCAGAUUCAGUGUUCAAAAGCAGCAAAAUGGGAAUGAUUGUGGCGUGUUUGUAGUUGGAUAUGCCGAAUGUUUACUCAAGAAUGGGAAUCUUGCAGAUUGGAAAGUUAAAGGCAGAUCACAACUUCUCAAAAUAAUUAAAAAAGUAAACUUUUGUGAACUAUCAAUGUAAAGAUAAAAGUUGAUGUCGUGAUGUGUUCAUAAAUGAACAACAAAAAUAAAACAUGCAUGCCAAUUCUUUGAAACUGUAGUAAAAAAAGAAUUCAGAAAUAAACUUUUUAGAACUAACUCUGUGGUAAACUUUCAUUGGGUUCACAAUAAAACUUGGAAUUCUAGGAUAUUGUGAGCUUACUUAAAAUAUGUACAAAAACUUUGUCCCAAAUAUGUACAGUGUAUUAUAUGUUAUUCAGGUCUCAGACAGGGUAUAUACUGUGACAUUCCUGGCUUUAGAGUUUAUAUCCCCUGAGCCGAAUAUAAAAAUAUUUCAUUUGUGUAGUUUUUCAAUAGAUUUUGGCAAUAUACUUAACACUUUUGUCAUGUAUUAUGCUUAUUCAAAUUGCCUUCCUGUUUGCUUUAAAAUUCAAUUCACUUGGUUUCAGUUAGCUUACGUGUUAAAAAACCAAACUGAUAUUAUUUUCAUUGAAGUCUUUAAACAAGCUAAUUCAGUUAACUGAUGAAACAAAAGUACAUAUAUAUAUUACUAGGCUACUCUUUAUUCUUAUCAGAAUUUUAUUAUAUCUAAAAAAUACAUCAACUAAGAUACAUAAUUAUUCUUUUCCUCAAAGAAUUUUUUUUCU
Molecule: long non-coding RNA, 815 nt
Organism: Mytilus trossulus (common blue mussel)
Lineage: Eukaryota; Metazoa; Mollusca; Bivalvia; Mytilida; Mytilidae
Exons: 3
Source: RefSeq, a predicted model, not a curated record